UGUAUCCUUGGUUUUUAGUAGUUUUACUAUGAUGGGGUGUGCCAUCCACCCCAUCAUAGUAAACUACUAAAAAUCAAAGAUACAAGUGCCUGACCA
MicroRNA precursor from Gorilla gorilla gorilla (western lowland gorilla), 96 nucleotides. The record is from Ensembl. Lineage: Eukaryota; Metazoa; Chordata; Mammalia; Primates; Hominidae.